UCCCUUUUAGGGGCAGUCUCGCUAGAGAAGAUAACUAGCGACAAGGGUUGCGCUCGUUGCGGGACUUAACCCAACACCUCACGGCACGAGCUGACGACAACCAUGCAGCACCUGUGUAAGCUCCCUUGCGGGUCCCUCGCCUUUCAGCUCAGUACCACUUACAUGUCAAGCCCUGGUAAGGUUCUUCGCUUAGCAUCGAAUUAAACCACACGCUCCGCUGCUUGUGCGGGCCCCCGUCAAUUCCUUUGAGUUUCAGUCUUGCGACCGUACUCCCCAGGCGGAGUGCUUAAUGCGUUUGCUGCAGCACUAAAGGGCGGAAACCCUCUAACACUUAGCACUCAUCGUUUACGGCAUGGACUAC
RNAcentral lists this unclassified non-coding RNA (361 nucleotides) under uncultured bacterium. RNAcentral's name for it is "contains 16S-23S intergenic spacer region". The record is from RNAcentral.